This 515-nucleotide ribosomal RNA is filed under the name uncultured bacterium. Its description in RNAcentral is "partial 16S ribosomal RNA". It matches the Rfam family "Bacterial small subunit ribosomal RNA", at positions 28 to 523 of the family's 1533-position model. The record is from RNAcentral.
GAUGAACGCUGGCGGCGUGCCUAAUACAUGCAAGUCGAGCGAAUGGAUUAGGAGCUUGCUCUUAUGAAGUUAGCGACGGACGGGUGAGUAACACGUGGGCAGCCUGCCCAUAAGACUGGGAUAACUCCGGGAAACCGGGGCUAAUACCGGAUAACAUUUUGAACCGCAUGGUUCGAAAUUGAAAGGCGGCUUCGGCUGUCACUUAUGGAUGGACCCGCGUCGCAUUAGCGAGUUGGUGAGGUAACGGCUCACCAAGGCAACGAUGCGUAGCCGACCUGAGAGGGUGAUCGGCCACACUGGGACUGAGACACGGCCCAGACUCCUACGGGAGGCAGCAGUAGGGAAUCUUCCGCAAUGGACGAAAGUCUGACAGAGCAACGCCGCGUGAGUGAUGAAGGCUUUCGGGUCGUAAAACUCUGUUGUUAGGGAAGAACAAGUGCUAGUUGAAUAAGCUGGCACCUUGACGGUACCUAACCAGAAAGCCACGGCUAACUACGUGCCAGCCGCCGCAGUAA